This 663-nucleotide ribosomal RNA is filed under the name uncultured Pseudomonadota bacterium. Its description in RNAcentral is "bacterial SSU rRNA". It matches the Rfam family "Bacterial small subunit ribosomal RNA", at positions 68 to 723 of the family's 1533-position model. The record is from RNAcentral. Lineage: Bacteria; Pseudomonadati; Pseudomonadota.
ACAGGAAGAAGCUUGCUUCUUUGCUGACGAGUGGCGGACGGGUGAGUAAUGUCUGGGAAACUGCCUGAUGGAGGGGGAUAACUACUGGAAACGGUAGCUAAUACCGCAUAACGUCGCAAGACCAAAGAGGGGGACCUUCGGGCCUCUUGCCAUCGGAUGUGCCCAGAUGGGAUUAGCUAGUAGGUGGGGUAACGGCUCACCUAGGCGACGAUCCCUAGCUGGUCUGAGAGGAUGACCAGCCACACUGGAACUGAGACACGGUCCAGACUCCUACGGGAGGCAGCAGUGGGGAAUAUUGCACAAUGGGCGCAAGCCUGAUGCAGCCAUGCCGCGUGUAUGAAGAAGGCCUUCGGGUUGUAAAGUACUUUCAGCGGGGAGGAAGGGAGUAAAGUUAAUACCUUUGCUCAUUGACGUUACCCGCAGAAGAAGCACCGGCUAACUCCGUGCCAGCAGCCGCGGUAAUACGGAGGGUGCAAGCGUUAAUCGGAAUUACUGGGCGUAAAGCGCACGCAGGCGGUUUGUUAAGUCAGAUGUGAAAUCCCCGGGCUCAACCUGGGAACUGCAUCUGAUACUGGCAAGCUUGAGUCUCGUAGAGGGGGGUAGAAUUCCAGGUGUAGCGGUGAAAUGCGUAGAGAUCUGGAGGAAUACCGGGUGGCGAAGGCG